AACGCACAUUGCGCCCGCCAGUAUUCUGGCGGGCAUGCCUGUUCGAGCGUCAUUUCAACCCUCAAGCCCCCGGGCUUGGCGUUGGGGAUCGGCAGCCCACCGGCGCCCUCGCGCGCCGGCGCCGUCCCUCAAACCCAUCGGCGGUCACGCCGCGGCGUCCCCUGCGUAGUACUGCACCUCGCACCGGACCCCGGCACGACCACGCCGUAAAACCCCCUACUUCUUGUGGUUGACCUCGAAUCAGGUAGGACUACCCGCUGAACUUAA
RNAcentral lists this unclassified non-coding RNA (267 nucleotides) under uncultured Hypocreales. RNAcentral describes it as "sequence contains 5.8S rRNA gene, ITS2, 28S rRNA gene". The stretch from base 1 to 52 matches the Rfam family "5.8S ribosomal RNA", at positions 103 to 154 of the family's 154-position model. Lineage: Eukaryota; Fungi; Ascomycota; Sordariomycetes; Hypocreales. The record is from RNAcentral.